AAUUACCUUCGGGGCAGGGUGAGAGAGGAACAAUAAAAGUUCCUCUCAAUUCCCGACCGGCAGUGAUGGUAUCUCCAAAUAUGGGGAUACCUAAGCCUGCGAGCAAGCCUAAAGGGCUUGCAGAUCUGGUGAGAAUCCAGAGCCGACGGUAUAGUCCGGAUGGGAGAAGGUAAUU
Molecule: non-coding RNA, 175 nt
Filed under: Dictyoglomus turgidum
Lineage: Bacteria; Pseudomonadati; Dictyoglomota; Dictyoglomia; Dictyoglomales; Dictyoglomaceae
Also listed under: 1 other name
Description: FMN sequence
Rfam family: FMN riboswitch aptamer (RFN element)
About the family: The RFN element is a highly conserved domain that is found frequently in the 5'-untranslated regions of prokaryotic mRNAs that encode for flavin mononucleotide (FMN) biosynthesis and transport proteins. This element is a metabolite-dependent riboswitch that directly binds FMN in the absence of proteins.
Source: RNAcentral